Molecule: ribosomal RNA, 253 nt
Filed under: uncultured bacterium
Lineage: Bacteria
Description: partial 16S ribosomal RNA
Rfam family: Bacterial small subunit ribosomal RNA
Source: RNAcentral
UACGUAGGGUGCGAGCGUUAAUCGGAAUUACUGGGCGUAAAGCGCGCGUAGGCGACUUUGCAAGUCGGGUGUGAAAUCCCCAGGCUUAACCUGGGAACUGCAUUCGAGACUGCAUUGCUAGAGUAUGGGAGAGGGAAGUGGAAUUUCCGGUGUAGCGGUGAAAUGCGUAGAUAUCGGAAGGAACAUCAGUGGCGAAAGCGACUUCCUGGACCAAUACUGACGCUCAUGUGCGAAAGCGUGGGGAGCAAACAGG